Molecule: non-coding RNA, 24 nt
Filed under: Rattus norvegicus (Norway rat)
Lineage: Eukaryota; Metazoa; Chordata; Mammalia; Rodentia; Muridae
Source: RNAcentral
UCGCGGAAGACUGGGAAUGGAGGC